UUGAACGCUGGCGGCAGGCCUAACACCUGCAAGUCGAGCGGACGAAGGGAGCUUGCUCCUGGAUUCAGCGGCGGACGGGUGAGUAAUGCCUAGGAAUCUGCCUGGUAGUGGGGGAUAACGUCCGGAAACGGGCGCUAAUACCGCAUACGUCCUGAGGGAGAAAGUGGGGGAUCUUCGGACCUCACGCUAUCAGAUGAGCCUAGGUCGGAUUAGCUAGUUGGUGGGGUAAAGGCCUACCAAGGCGACGAUCCGUAACUGGUCUGAGAGGAUGAUCAGUCACACUGGAACUGAGACACGGUCCAGACUCCUACGGGAGGCAGCAGUGGGGAAUAUUGGACAAUGGGCGAAAGCCUGAUCCAGCCAUGCCGCGUGUGUGAAGAAGGUCUUCGGAUUGUAAAGCACUUUAAGUUGGGAGGAAGGGCAGUAAGUUAAUACCUUGCUGUUUUGACGUUACCAACAGAAUAAGCACCGGCUAACUUCGUG
Molecule: ribosomal RNA, 483 nt
Filed under: uncultured bacterium
Lineage: Bacteria
Description: partial 16S ribosomal RNA
Rfam family: Bacterial small subunit ribosomal RNA
Source: RNAcentral